UGACUGGCCCGGUUGUCACCAGGGCACCAGAAGGCCAGAGAAACACGACUGAGUCACAGGGCAUGUGCAAUUUUGCGACCCACCAAGCCAAAGGCAGCCCACCACACCCUCAGCAUUUCUCCGUAUCUAGUGAAGUCUGUGACGGCAUGCCUCAAUAAAUUUGCUAUGAUUUAAGGC
This is a long non-coding RNA of Podarcis raffonei (Aeolian wall lizard), 177 nucleotides long. RefSeq lists it as uncharacterized. The record is from RefSeq and is a predicted model, not a curated record. The transcript is spliced from 2 exons. NCBI's taxonomy places the organism in Eukaryota, Metazoa, Chordata, Lepidosauria, Squamata, Lacertidae.